This 147-nucleotide unclassified non-coding RNA is filed under the name uncultured fungus. RNAcentral's name for it is "sequence contains ITS1, 5.8S rRNA gene". The record is from RNAcentral. Lineage: Eukaryota; Fungi.
CCGAGCGAGGGCCCUCGGCCCGACCUCCAACCCUUUUGUGAAUCAAAACCUGUUGCCUCGGGGGCGACCCGGCCUCCGGGCGUCGGGGCCCCCGGUGGACCAUCAAACUCUUGCAUCGAAGCGUCGGAGUAAACGAAAAAUUGAUGA